Unclassified non-coding RNA from Myotis lucifugus (little brown bat), 300 nucleotides. Its record names the gene 7SK. It matches the Rfam family "7SK RNA". From Rfam's summary of the family: 7SK was discovered as an abundant small nuclear RNA in the mid-70s but a possible function has only recently been suggested. NCBI's taxonomy places the organism in Eukaryota, Metazoa, Chordata, Mammalia, Chiroptera, Vespertilionidae. The record is from Ensembl.
GGAUGUGAGGGCGAUCUGGCUGCGACAUGUGUCACCCCAUUGAUCGCCAGGGUUGAGUCGGCUGAUCUGGCUGGCUAGGCAGGUGUCCCCCUCCUCCCUCACCGAUCCAUGUGCGUCCCUCCUGAAGCUGCGAGCUCGGUCGAAGAGGAAGACCUCCCCCCCCGCCCCAGGAGAGGACCGGUCUUCGGUCAAGGGUAUACGAGUAGCUGCGCUCCCCUGCUAGAACCUCCAAACAAGCUCCCAAAAUGGAAACUGGAAGUCCAACAACUUCAAUUACUUCACAAGCAAAUUAGCUUCUUU